GACGAACGCUGGCGGCGUGCUUAACACAUGCAAGUCGAACGGAAAGGCCCUGCUUUUGUGGGGUGCCCGAGUGGCGAACGGGUGAGUAACAAGUGAGUAACCUUCCCUUGACUUUGGGAUAACUUCAGGAAACUGGGGCUAAUACCGGAUAGGAGCUCCUGCUGCAUGGUGGGGGUUGGAAAGUUUCGGCGGUUGGGGAUGGACUCGCGGCUUAUCAGCUUGUUGGUGGGGUAGUGGCUUACCAAGGCUUUGACGGGUAGCCGGCCUGAGAGGGUGACCGGCCACAUUGGGACUGAGAUACGGCCCAGACUCCUACGGGAGGCAGCAGUGGGGAAUAUUGCACAAUGGGCGGAAGCCUGAUGCAGCAACGCCGCGUGCGGGAUGACGGCCUUCGGGUUGUAAACCGCUUUCGCCUGUGACGAAGCGUGAGUGACGGUAAUGGGUAAAGAAGCACCGGCUAACUACGUG
Molecule: ribosomal RNA, 468 nt
Filed under: uncultured bacterium
Lineage: Bacteria
Description: partial 16S ribosomal RNA
Rfam family: Bacterial small subunit ribosomal RNA
Source: RNAcentral